GCGUGAGUGAAGAAGGCCCUAGGGUUGUAAAGCUCUUUCAGCGGGGAAGAUGAUGACGGUACCCGCAGAAGAAGCCCCGGCUAACUCCGUGCCAGCAGCCGCGGUAAUACGGAGGGGGCUAGCGUUGCUCGGAAUUACUGGGCGUAAAGGGCGCGUAGGCGGAUUUCUCAGUCAGGCGUGAAAGCCCCGGGCUCAACCCGGGAACUGCGUUUGAUACUAGAAGUCUAGAGAUCUGGAGAGGGUGGUGGAAUUCCCAGUGUAGAGGUGAAAUUCGU
Molecule: ribosomal RNA, 275 nt
Filed under: uncultured bacterium
Lineage: Bacteria
Description: partial 16S ribosomal RNA
Rfam family: Bacterial small subunit ribosomal RNA
Source: RNAcentral